AAACUUCAAAUAUAUAUCCCCCCUGUCGUUUCACACUUUCUCACUUUAGUACCUUGUGGUUUAAAGUGUAUCAAGUUACCUCUUGUGGUGUUCGCACUUUUUCACUUUAGUACUCUGUGGUUUAAAGUGUAUCAAGUUAUUACUCUGUGGUUUUAUUUUUCUCUUUUUAUUACUCAUUUCACUAAUUUGUUUCGUUAAAUCAGUGAUAAAGUUAAAAUUAAAGGGUACUGAAAUAAAUAUUCGAUAAACCUAGAGAGAGUAUUUGAAGUUUUUUGUAUAUAAUUUAACGAAAUAUUAACAGAGGAAAAAAAAUAAGUGCAGAGUUAAAACUAAAGGAUAAUAAAGUAAAUUUUCGAUAAAUCUAGGUAGGGUAUCUGAAGUUUUUUGUAUGUAAUUUAACGAAAUAUUAACAGAGGAGCCGACGAAAAGAGAAAAAUAAAACCACAGGAUACUAAAUUGAUGUACUUUAAAUCACAGGGUACUAAAGUGAGAAAGUGCGAAACCACAGGGUACUAAAUUGAUACACUUUAAACCACAGGGUACAUAAGUAAAAAAGUGCGAAACCACAUGGAUGGUAUUUGAAGUUUUCCCAAUUAUAAAUGAAAGAUCCAAGAAUCAGUUUUAGGCAUGUUCCUUUACUACUAAUGUUCGCGUAACAAAAAAACAAAAGAUUAUCCUUUCCAAUUGAAACGAAGUUCACAUAGUCUUGAGUAAGGUUUUAAAAUUUAGAAAGCCACCUCUGUUGGCUUAAAGAGGCCACCAUUCUGUCCGACGGCGGAAGGUAAGGUGGAAUCGAGUUAUUCUCGAAAUGGCGGAAGACUGAAUUGGGUCAAGUCACAAUCGAGAUUCAUGAGCGCAGUAUUUGUACGCUUUAAGUUAAAUUAAUUACAUUUUUUUACCAACUCAAGCUUUUAAAAUUAUUAAUGAUUAGUGCCAACGAUCCUACAGUCCGUAAAUACUAAGUUUAGAUAGGUCUUGUAAAAUGAAUUAU
Molecule: long non-coding RNA, 991 nt
Filed under: Ananas comosus (pineapple)
Lineage: Eukaryota; Viridiplantae; Streptophyta; Magnoliopsida; Poales; Bromeliaceae
Description: long non-coding RNA (ACOM_LNC017519)
Source: RNAcentral